Molecule: transfer RNA, 73 nt
Organism: Camelus ferus (Wild Bactrian camel)
Lineage: Eukaryota; Metazoa; Chordata; Mammalia; Artiodactyla; Camelidae
Rfam family: tRNA
About the family: Transfer RNA (tRNA) molecules are approximately 80 nucleotides in length. Their secondary structure includes four short double-helical elements and three loops (D, anti-codon, and T loops). Further hydrogen bonds mediate the characteristic L-shaped molecular structure. tRNAs have two regions of fundamental functional importance: the anti-codon, which is responsible for specific mRNA codon recognition, and the 3' end, to which the tRNAs corresponding amino acid is attached (by aminoacyl-tRNA synthetases). tRNAs cope with the degeneracy of the genetic code in two manners: having more than one tRNA (with a specific anti-codon) for a particular amino acid; and 'wobble' base-pairing, i.e. permitting non-standard base-pairing at the 3rd anti-codon position.
Source: Rfam
GUGGGUAUAGCUGAAGCAGUAGAGUGCAUGCUUAGCAUGCAUGAGGUCCUGGGUUCAAUCCCCAGUACCUCCU